CGAGUGAACCGGGAUGAGCUCAAAUUUAAAAUCUGGCGUCUUUCAGGCGUCCGAGUUGUAAUCUACAGAGGCGUUUUCCGCGCCGGACCGCGUCCAAGUCCCUUGGAAUAGGGUAUCAAAGAGGGUGACAAUCCCGUACUUGACGCGACGACCGGUGCUCUGUGAUACGUUCUCAAUGAGUCGAGUUGUUUGGGAAUGCAGCUCUAAAUGGGUGGUAAAUUCCAUCUAAGGCUAAAUAUUGGCGAGAGACCGAUAGCGAACAAGUACCGUGAGGGAAAGAUGAAAAGCACUUUGGAAAGAGAGUUAAACAGCACGUGAAAUUGUUAAAAGGGAAGCGAUUGAAGUCAGUCGUGUGGGAGGUAUUCAGCCGUUCUGGCGGUGUAUUUGCCUCUCACGGGUCAACAUCAGUUUGAUCCGGCAGAAAAAGGCGGGGGGAAGGUGGCACCCUCGGGUGUGUUAUAGCCUCCUGUCAUAUAUGCCGGACCAGACUGAGGAACGCAGCUCGCAGCAAUGCCGGGGUUCGCCCACGUACGAGCUUAGG
This 541-nucleotide ribosomal RNA is filed under the name Cryptococcus sp. IS. RNAcentral's name for it is "LSU rRNA". It matches the Rfam family "Eukaryotic large subunit ribosomal RNA", at positions 90 to 621 of the family's 3401-position model. The record is from RNAcentral. Lineage: Eukaryota; Fungi; Basidiomycota; Tremellomycetes; Tremellales; Cryptococcaceae.